CCUACGGGGGGCAGCAGUGGGGAAUAUUGCGCAAUGGGGGCAACCCUGACGCAGCAACGCCGCGUGAUUGAAGAAGGCCUUCUGGUUGUAAAGAUCUUUAAUCGGGGACGAAUUUUGACGGUACCCGAAGAAUAAGCUCCGGCUGACUACGUGCCAGCAGCCGCGGUAAUACGGAGGAUGCAAGCGUUAUCCGGAUUUAUCGGGUUUAAAGGGUGCGUAGGCGGAAUGUCAAGUCAGCGGUAAAAUUUCGGGGCUCAACCCCGUCGUGCCGUUGAAACCGGCGUUCUUGAGUGAGCGAGAAGUAUGCGGAAUGCGUGGUGUAGCGGUGAAAUGCAUAGAUAUCACGCAGAACUCCGAUUGCGAAGGCAGCAUACCGGCGCUCAACUGACGCUCAUGCACGAAAGUGUGGGUAUCAAACAGGAGUAGAUACCCUUGUAGUC
This 440-nucleotide ribosomal RNA is filed under the name uncultured bacterium. RNAcentral's name for it is "partial 16S ribosomal RNA". It matches the Rfam family "Bacterial small subunit ribosomal RNA", at positions 338 to 795 of the family's 1533-position model. The record is from RNAcentral.